UUGAACGCUGGCGGCAUGCCUUACACAUGCAAGUCGAACGGCAGCACGGGAGCAAUCCUGGUGGCGAGUGGCGAACGGGUGAGUAAUACAUCGGAACGUGCCCAGUAGUGGGGGAUAGCCCGGCGAAAGCCGGAUUAAUACCGCAUACGACCUACGGGUGAAAGCGGGGGAUCGCAAGACCUCGCGCUAUUGGAGCGGCCGAUGGCAGAUUAGGUUGUUGGUGAGGUAAAAGCUCACCAAGCCGACGAUCUGUAGCUGGUUUGAGAGGACGACCAGCCACACUGGGACUGAGACACGGCCCAGACUCCUACGGGAGGCAGCAGUGGGGAAUUUUGGACAAUGGGCGCAAGCCUGAUCCAGCCAUGCCGCGUGCGGGAAGAAGGCCUUCGGGUUGUAAACCGC
RNAcentral lists this ribosomal RNA (402 nucleotides) under uncultured bacterium. RNAcentral's name for it is "bacterial SSU rRNA". It matches the Rfam family "Bacterial small subunit ribosomal RNA", at positions 29 to 433 of the family's 1533-position model. The record is from RNAcentral.